This 22449-nucleotide long non-coding RNA is filed under the name Lathyrus oleraceus (garden pea). RNAcentral's name for it is "Pisum sativum (pea) long non-coding RNA (PSAT_LNC003808)". Lineage: Eukaryota; Viridiplantae; Streptophyta; Magnoliopsida; Fabales; Fabaceae. The record is from RNAcentral.
ACGUGUUAAUUCAAUUGAUAAAAAAAAAUAGAAUUAAUCAAAAGGACAUGAAGCAUAUUAAAGAGAAAGGUAUAUGAUAUUACAUUCGACAAGGAAAGUAACUGGUCUGCAACAUUGCAAUGAAAUCAAGCACAUAUUAACAUGAUAAGAGUUAAGAAAACCAAACCCAACAACCAACAUAGCCCAUCACAAUAUCUCAUCAAAACUCCAAAGACCCAUCUUUGUUUUUAUGGGACCCACCAUCCAGCUAUAAGGGUUUGUUUGGUUUUCCUCUCACAAAAGCAUUUUCUGACCAAUUUAGGCCAACUAUACCAUGACAUCAUGUAGACAUUUUACAAUAAACAUUCAAUGAAAAAAAGCUAUUCUUUUGCAAGAUAUAGUCAAAAGGUAUACACAUAUACUGAGGGAUUAACUGCAGCCAUCCGGUCCGGGUUCAGCGUGAAACUACACUGGCCAGGCCACAGAACAUGAUAACUUAGACAAAAAAUAAUGGUGCCGCUUUUGUUUUAAUGUAUCAACUAGUAUACACUUUGCCUCCUAUGAUUAUCAUCAUGAUCCGGUUGAUUGAACAAAUUGUAGCCCUAUUUGCCGCUUUAUGUGGUCAGGUAUCAACUUGUUAACAAGCUCUGGGGAUGCUCCUGAUAACUGUAAACGGGAAGAGUAACAUUAUAGUUGACCAUCAUUUUUGUUUAACUAGGAUGUUGACUGGGAUCACACAUGUGUAGAUGUUAUCAUUCUGAUCAAGAAAGAUAUUUUAAGGACUUACUUCCUGUUUAAAGUUGAAAAGAGGAGGAAAUGGGCGACCAUUAGGCAGACGGGCAUUGGGUUCUCGAAGAUCAUCAAAGAAAGGAUGUGCACAAGCUUCAAGCUGCAUAACAAAAUAAGUUGAUAAGCUAGUUUUUCUAUUAAAAAAAACUUAUAUUUGUUGAUUAAUCGAAUUCAGAACAAGUCUAGACUGAUGAAAGAGCAAUAUAUUUGAAUGGAGAUCAACAACACUCACCGCAGUGCAACGGAGACUUGGGGAGUACUGCAAAAGCCGUGAAGCAAGAUCGAUAGCUUCUGGAGGCAUCUUUUUGUGGAAGAUCUGCACAAUUUAGAAGUAUUGGAAAAUGUGAAUAUUUUUAUUUAAGCAACUCAAAUUUGAUCAAUUAGCAGUUAGAGAAGAGACUAAAAUGCAGACCUUGUGCCAUGGGUGUGCUUUUAUUUGUGGAAACCUAAAGUCAUUGUAAUUGGGAUUCAUGCAACGAACUUCCUCCCGGGUGGGUGUUCCAAGCACCUGCAUCAGAGUUCCAAAGAUCUAAUUAAUCAUGACAUGUAAAAGCAUGAUUUAAAACAUAUGUUUCAUGCCGACCCCAAUCGCACCUUUAUAAUAUGUACGAGCUGGUCCACCGCAUUUUCACCAGGGAAUAAUGGCUGCAAAAGAUCCCGUUUUAUUAAAUGACAUGAUGACAGAUACUAAUAGAAAUGCAUCAUGUUGCAGUAUAUGAUGAUGAUGAUGAUGAUGAUGAUGAUGUCGACGAUUAUAAAAACAAAACAAUGACACAAACCUGGCCCAAAAGAAGUUCAGCAAGGACACAGCCACCUGACCAAAUAUCAAUUGAAGUAGUAUACUCUGUGGCACCAAAUAUAAGCUCUGGAGCUCGAUAGAAUCGUGAACAUAUGUAUGAUAUAUUAGCUUCGCCCUUGACCUGGCCAGAAAAAUCAAAGAUCAGUCAGUACUUGAAAAAUAAGCAUAUUAAAAUAAGAUGAGUAGGUCAACAUACCAGCAUUUUCGCACUUCCGAAAUCACAUAGCUUAACUUGAUGUGAAAGAGGAUCAACCUGGGGAAUACACAUAAUAACAUCAGGGACAAAAGUAAUUAUUCCUCUUACAAAAGAAAUCUGAAUUGUAAUAUACAUUCAGCAACAGCAUAUUAACAAACCAGUAUGUUUUGAGGCUUUAAAUCCCUGUGGCAAACUCCAGGAACAGUAUGGAUAUAAGCCAACCCCCUAAAGAUCUGCAUGCCCGCCACAAAUUUUUAGCAGACAUUAAAUGAAUAAAUCAGACAAGUUUAUUAUUCACCAGAAAUUCGACGGCGUACCUGGUACAUGUAAAGUUUUACAUAGAUGAUUGGUAUUCUUUGAUUUGCGUUGUUAUAGUGCUUUAAGACCCGAUACAUGGAUUCUGGAACAUAUUCCAUCACCAAAUUAAGAAAAAGUUCAUCUGUACUUGUAGUUGAAAAGAAACAAUGCUUCAGAGUGACCACAUUUGGAUGAUCCAUCACACGCAUCAACUGUAGUUCACGGUUCUUAUAUCUCCGGUCUUGUAAAACCUUUUUAAUGGCCACUGCCUCUCCGGUUUCCAAGCAUUUCGCCUAAGAGAACAAAAUUAUCAGCAUAUGGAAGGAAAAAAAAGGUGGAGACGGCAACAGUUACAAAGAAUCUAGUAUUAGCAUACCUGGAAAACAAUUCCAAAUGAUCCAGUUCCUACAACACGUUCUGCCAUGUAACUAAUAGUCUACAAGAAUCAUUGUACAAGAUGUUAAACUUGUAAUACAUGAUAAAUGACAAAUGGAAUUGCUAACAAAUCAGCGAACUACUCGAACUCAAAACUGUAAUUUUAUCGGCGCAGCGGGAUUUACAAAAGGCUUUACCUGUUUGGGUUCACCGUUUUUGCCUCCAAUUGUUGUAGAUAUUAUUUGACCAGUGAGAGAAUCAUUCCCGUUGAUAACAGAAGUAGACAUCUCCUGUUGAAAUUAUACCGUUAAUCACAAGAUAUAUGAAACAUUAGCAUAUUGAGCUUCUCACAAAAAUAUUAAUAAACAGUUUGGUUUCAAAAUGAAGCUAAAAAUAGAAAGCAUAUGAUUAACCAAUUGGUAGACAUAUAAAAAAUAGUAAGGAAAGGCUGAGAUGAAGAACAAGAUUCAGAGUUAAACCAUCACAUAUCAACAGCAUAAUCAAAGGAAAGUCUCUACAAGAUAUAACAUGAAGAAGAAAAAAAACAUAAUCAGAAAGCUUAAGAAGGGAAUAAGCUGUAAACAUUAAAGAUCAAGGAACCAAGAACUAUAGCAACACAAAAUCCAGAGGACAAACUUUGUUUGCUUUAGACUUUCAUUGAAAAAUUUGAAGUAAGAAACAAAAACUCAACAAAAUAUGCUAUAUUAAAAUUUUAAAUCAGUGCAAGAGCUAGAAUCACAAAUCAAAGCGAUGAACAACACAGAAAGCAAGCAAGAUGCGGUGAAUAACCAGAAAACAAUACAAGUUCAUGACAACAAAUCAUUGAGAGACCAACUUUGAUAAGAACCAUGAUCUGAUCAUAACAAAGUGUCGGCAACAAACAAAUCUUCAAAAAAAAAAAACCUAGUUCAAAACUUCUCACCGUCAAAAAAAAUUGAAACUUCGGGGAAACCCAUAGAUCAACUCAAAAAUUACUAAAAUGGGUCUUCUAUAGUACCUCAAAGACCAAAUUUUAAGCAACGAAUCGAAUUUCCCCCAAAAUAACAAACCCUAACAUUCCCUUUUUCAGCAAACAAAAAAAGGAAACAAUCAAACGAAAAUCACACAACACAUAAAAAUUCCGCUUCAAACUAUUACAAAAACAAAACAAAAUCAAUUAUUCCAUUCAUGAAUCACCAACUUUCACACCAACCAAGAAAUUUACAUAUAAAAAAAUACCAAAAAAAAAAUUUCUCGCGGUGAGAAAAUACCUUAUCCUCAGCCAUGAGGGAGAAAGGAGGGAGAGAGAGAGAGAGAGAAGAGAGAAGAAACUAGGGAAGGGUGAAGAAGAGGGAGAUGGUGGAAGAGAAAGUAAGAAGGGAAUGGAGGACCCAGCAAGAGAAAGACAAGUCCAUGUGAUUCCAGCUCUUCUUUUUCUCUUCUCUCUCUUUCUCUCUCCUUUCUUUUCUGUCUACCCUUUCUUUUCUUUUUCUUUUUUUAUUAUUGUUUUCUUGUUUUCUUUUUUGGACUUUUCCUAUUUGUCUUUGACCCACUUUGUAGAUUAGGAAGAACUUGCUAUUAAUACAAUCAUUAGACGUGCUUAGUUUAAUUUGUCGGUCAAAAAUAUAUUUCUUCUCAUUUCAUUUAGUUUAAAGUUGAAUUUUUUGUUCACACUUAUUAGUAUUUGAGUUUAAAAAAAUUACUAGCAAUUAGUGAAGAUUAUAUAAAUUUUAUUUUUUAAAUAUAAAUUUAGUAAGGGAUGGGGCGGAGGGUGCUCCGUUGACUCAGAUUGCACAUAUUAUUAUAGUUUUAUUGUUAUUUUUUCUGCGUUGUACUUGUUUUUUUUGUCAUGUUUUUAGGUACAUUGCCUAGAUAAAGUCUUUCACGAAAAAAGAAAACGAAAAGAGCAAGAAUCGGAGAUUUUCAAUGGAAAAUACACACAUGGUGUUCCACAUGGCGUUGGUCAUGCGGGUAGCCAUGAUGUGUAAGCUUUCACCCACGUUUCAACAACCACAAGACCACGUAUUCCACAUUUUGUACACAUGACGAACGUCAUGCGUAGAUGGUGGGUGCCAUCUUCUUAUUCUGCACCGUGUCAAGGGCGGUUGCUAGGAAAAGGUCAUGACUAGAGAUUUUUUCUCCACACUAAUUUUGAAAGUGUUAUGUAACCUCUGAGGCAUUAUUACACUAUAAAUAGGAUUUGGGUUUUUAGUUAUAGGUAUUCAAGUCUAGUUGCAGCAUAGGCUAUAGAGUCACACCGUUAAAGCAAUAAUUCUUCACAUCAGAGGAUUAUUGCACCAUUAUUGUAAUCAAAUUUGGAGCAUCGUAUAGUCGAAGUUAAUCUUGCCAUCAUUUUACUUUCAAGUCAUAUUUAUUUCAAGUUUGUACCAGAUUCAAGUCUCCGAUUUGGAGCAGGUUUUUAAUUUAAUUCACAAUACUAUUAUUUUAUUUCUCGGUUCGCCUUUAAUUUGUUUAUUUCUCGCUUCGCCUUUAAUUUGUUUAUUUCUUGUACCGCCUUUAAUUUGUUUAUUUCUCGCACGGCCUUUAAUUUGUUUAUUUUCCUUGCACGAUUACUUGUCAGAUUUAUUAUAGCAAAAGAUUCGUUUUUUAAACCAUACUUUGAACGUAUCAUUCAUGUGGUUCACUUUUAAAACCAGCUACACAUUUAACACUUUAUUUCCCUAAAUGACUUAUUCCAUAAAUCAAUUAUAUGCUAUGUUGUUUAUCGUAACCCUGUCUAACUAAAUCCUUAGUGCUGGAAUGUGAGGAUCGUCGUUUCGACGGUACUCUGCAUGUUGUAUAUGUAGGAAUAUUUUUGGGGUUGUUUUGAUUUUAAUACAAGUUUUCUAUGUUUAAUUUGAUCAGUUACUACAAAAGUAGAUCCAUGACUAAGUCGGGUAAGAUCAAAAGUCGUCUGACAUCUAAGAAAAAACUUGGUUGGCUUUUAAUUGAUAAAAACAGCGAAAGCAUUUUGUUAAAUUAAUUAUGAUAUUUUAAUAUUAUUAUAAAGUUAUUUUAAAACUAUUUUGGAAUGCGUUUAUAGGUUUAAGAUCCGGUUGAUCGAGCAUAUGUCGGAAACACUUUUAUGUUAAAAGUUUCCAAUCAAAAACACUUUUCAACUGAGCCUUAGAGAUAAUUAUAUAAAAAAUGACUUUUUCACUUUAAUGCAAAACACGACCGGUGCAGCGUGAGCGGCUGGUUAAAAUUAGAGGUUAGGUCCGGUUCCGAUUACGCUAACGCGACGGUUCCUUUUUAAUUAACUUUUUUUCAAGGAAAAAAAUAUUGCCCCAUAAGUAAUUCUAUUUAGAAACAAUAUGAGUAUUAUUUAACUGAUAUGAAUUACAUUUCAAUAUCAUUUUCUCUAAAUUUAUCUUCACUAAUUUUUAAUUCAUGUGCACUCUAUACACCUGCUUGAUUAGCCUUAGAUAAACACUGUAAUAAUAGUAAUCGAUAGAUUGACAUUGAUCUUUGUGGGAUCGAUGAUCUUUUAUAUUACUCUAACGUAUUUCGUAUACUUACGGAAAGCAUGCAUCAAUCUAUUGUAUUGGUUAAUUUUGUCAUUGAUGUUUGGAUAGGAUCAUGUCAAUAUACAAGUUCAUUCAAUUGUGCAGGUUAUACUUUGUGUCAACUUAUAGGUUGCAUAGUAUGUAUCAAUUAUGUAUGUUCAACAUGUGUAGGUUCAAGUUGCACAAUUUGUAUUAGUUAAUUUUUUCAAAUUACAUGUUGUGUAUGUUCAAAAAAAAUUACAUUACCUAAAAUAAAGGAUUAUGCCAAAAUUACUUUUCAUUAAAACAAAUAAGAUGUUAUCACAUUACACCCAGUACGUCACUUUAUAUGAGAUUAAAACAAAUUAAUUACAAAUUUUAUGUAGGUAUUAUGCUAAAACCUUAUUUUAUUAAAACAAACAAAUUACAUCACAUUACACUCAGUACGUCACAUAACAUUACACUAGAAAAUUACAUUACUUUAAUACAUUUGUUACAACUAAUGCAAACACAAGUAACAAUAUAUACACCAAAGCCAAACCCAAAAAAUAACCAUAAACUUAAUCUUCAUCUUCAACAUAUCUUCAUUUUUAUUUGUCUCUUUGGUUAAAUCCACAAGCUCGUCAUUCUUAUCUUUCAAAAAUUUAUUCACAUCAUUUACACGGUUGCUCGUGUCUUCAUCAAACCAUUCAAAAUAGUUACAUCAUUUUUUCCUCAUCGCCUUAAAAUUAACAAAAUAAUAAAAUACUAUUUUGGGAUUCUCGUAAGUCCACGAUGUCAUCAAUAUUGACUCAAGCUCAUAUUGAUAUCUAUUCAUUCUUCUUCUUAGACUGACCUAAUUUGUUGAGACAAGUGAGAAUCUUGAUCUAGUCAUGGAUGAAAAAGGGUGAAAGAAGAAGAAAAAAGAAGAUGAACAUGAUCAAAGAAAAGUGGGUGCAAGAAAAUUAGGGAUGAAUGAGGUGUUGGUUCUACAAAAGAAAAACAUGUGAUGAAUGAUGAUAAAAUAAAGGGGAUGGGUAAGGGUUACCAUUUUAUUUAUGUUUUUUAUAGUUAUAUUAUAUAUCAAUAUAUUAGAAAAUGUUUAAAAUGGAAUUAACCUAAAUAUAAAAUAACAUAAAUGAAUUGAAAUAAUUUUAUAGUGACACAUAAGCCAAAUUAGUGUCAUGUCAUUAAAAAAUACUAUCAGAUUUGAAAGGGGACUAAAAUCCUUAAAAAAUAUAUAAUUAAAGGGACUAAGUUAACCGAUUUUAAAAAUGGAGGUACCAAAAUUGAAAUUUUAGGAUAAUAGGGGGACCAAAGUUGCAAUAUUAAGCAAAAAAAAAUUGUAAAUGACUUUGGUAUUUUAACUUUUUAUAAUAAACUAUUCUAAUAAAUAGUUAUUAUGAGGAGAUUCAAAUUCUCAUUCAUGGUUGAAUGGGUUUGUUCAAUCUCAACCAUUCAUUUUAGUUUAAUGCAAUGUUAAAAAAGUGUGAAAACUUAAUAUAGUAUCCAUGUGUUUCAAAACUCAAGUUAUAUUUAUUUUUGCUUUAAUGUUUUUUUAUUCUCGUAUCUAUUCCUCAGGAUUCAUUUUAGACUCAUAACUUUUAAAAUGUUCAAAUUGAUCCCUCUAUUUUUUUAAAUGGGCCACAUUUGUCAUUUAUAUUUAUUUCAAUCAAACAUAGUUAUAUUUUGUCUACGUGGCAUACUACUUGAUUUCCAUGAAAUUUAUCUUUUAAAAAUUGAGGGUCACAUUCAUCAUAUUUUGUUUACCUAGGUUGAUUUGAAGAAUUGAGGGAUCAAAAUGGACGUUUUUAAAGUUACGAGACAAAAAAGAAACUCUGAAUAAGAGACACGGGACAAAAAUGGUAUUAAGUAUUGUUUUUGUUGUAAUUUUUAUCAUAUAUACUAACAUGGAACAAGUUACCGUCUUGAUGAGGCCCAUGGAAGGAGCUAUGUAGUGAUAGGGGGCCACGACCAUUCCAAACAUUUUUUUUAUAUCGAUGAAAAUACUAAAAUAUCUUUGGUUAAUUUAAAAUUUUACCGUUUUGUCAUUGCUCAACCCUAAUAUUUUCUUCUCUUUCAUUUGAAGUAUAUGUUUUCCCCUUUUCUCUCUUUUCUCAUUUAUUGAACAUAACUCCUUCAUUAUUCUCUUGUCAUUGUCGUUGUUGCAUGUUCUGAUACGCCACUCAUCGUCGUACGUACGUCCACUAUCGCUCGGUUGCGUGCUUUGCUCAACCAGCCAUUCACCAUUGCAUUUUUCCCAAAGUGAGUUUGUGAGUCUAUGAGUUUUCUUUUCAGACAAUUCAUUGAUUUUUUAUGGGAUUUUUCUUAGAAUUUUUAAGUUCUUAUUCAUACACCACUCCAACCGGUGAAGACGAGUACUUAACCGGUACCGCAAAUUUCCGCAUGUUCAACACCGAGUACUCACUAUCCCAGGACCAGUUGAGUGUCAUGCUACACUUUCCUGUAGGAGACCAAGUCCACCCAAGAAUCCCUCCGAACUCACAGUGGCACAUAAACGCCUUCGACUCUUUGGAAAAAUAUCCGGUGUGGAAACCAAUAACUGGGAUGCACUACUUGCUUCACACAUACAUAACCCCACUAUCCGGUAUUUUAUCCGUAUUCUGCAAAACACCAUUUUUGGUAGACCCAACAACAACAAGAAGCGAGGAAUGCAAUAACCGACCAGCGGUUCACUGACUUGCUCAACAGGUUUGAUGACUUGGAAGUACGUCAACGCUCACCGGGUCCGAGAACAAGAGGGCGCAGGCAUAAUUGAGCAUUUUAUUUAUUUUUUUCCUUUCUUUUCGCUUUUCUCUAAAACAUUGGGGACAAUGUUUUAUUUAAGUGUGGGGGGGAAAACUUUGUUUCAGUUAUGAUUAUUUCUCUUUCAACAUUCCUCUUUCAAGUAUGUCAUUUCCCUUUCAUUUAAAAUAUAUAUAUAUAUAUAUAAUAUAUAUAUAUAUAUAUAUAUAUAUAUAUAUAUAAUAUAAUAUAUAUAUAUAUAUAUAUAUAUAAUAUUUUAUUUAAGUCGAGUCCCUAGUGUGAAAUUUUUAUAUCUAUUCCCCUCAUUUUUCUCGAGCCAUAACAAAAAUUUAACACACUCGAUAAGUAUAAAGGUUGCUUAUUUUAUAAAACUUGAGGGAAUUAAGACAAAAUUAUUACCGCCCCACCAACACUCUAAAACCUCAACAUGUUAGAUCAGGCUAAGUACCUAUUAUACCAAUUCCUUGAACUUUUAGUUUUAUAGUAACCCGCGAGUAGUUUAUACGAGAAGUCGGCACCAUCUUAAUAGCAAACUACGUGGAGAGCCGAUGAAUAUAAGUGAUGAUUCCCAAAACAAUAUAUUAAAAUCAGGAAAUGCACUAAUUAAGUAGGUGAUCCUUACCCGAUCAUUUAAUUCAAAGGUUGCGGACCCUAUAAAACAUUGUAUGACGAUCCAUUGUGAGUUGGUUCAGCGGUUUCUGGUGCUGAACUUGGUAGGGCGGACUACGAUCCGAUCCCCCGCAAUUUGCAAUGGACUAAAUAACGAAGUUAUCCAACUUAUGUACCAGAACUUCUAGCUAAAAGGGGAUCAGAAUCGCUAACCGGUACUCCAUUAUGUGCGCGAAAAGAUAAAGGCUUAAUGUGAUUUCGCUAGAAUGAAAACGGGUGAAAUAAGAGUAAAAGAACUAGGAUAGCUAUAAUAGCGUGACUCGAACUGGUUUGCAUAAGGUGGGGUUAUCUGAUGUUGUUACAGGAAUUUGUGAUGUUAAGAUUAAGCUCAGGUUAUUUCUAAACGAGAUUUACUUGCAACCUAAUAUGAAUUGAUGUGUGUUUAGAAUUUAUCCGGCUAAUAUUUUAAACGACUUCUAUAUUGUAUCUUGCUUGAGGACAACAAAAUCUAAGUAUGGGGGAGUUUGAUAAAUGAAAUAUCACAUUUUUGGACUCGAUUUAAUUAAAUUAUAUUAUUAUUGAUUCGAUUUAUUUAUAUUAUUCGAUAUUACUGGUAUUUUCCUUCUAUUUUAUCUUCAGGUAACAUUAUUUGAAGCAUACGUGAAAGAAGAAAAGGGGUGCAAAAAGGAUUCUCUAGGAAAAGCAUUCCACUAAAGCCCAACCACCUACAAGGAGAAGCGUGUGACGUUGUGACGACCGCCACACAUGGUGUGACGAGCGUCACGCCUCCUGCUUAGUGUUACGAGCGUAACACAUGGUGUGACGGACGUCACACCCCCACUCCUAUUUUUCUGCUUUGACGCGCGUAACAGAAGCACGUUCGCCCCUUUCUUCGCUUGACUCGUUGACGCUUUGGAAACCUACUGAAGAGACUUUGGAAAAACGGUUACUUUAUGGAUGAAUAUAAAUAGACCCCAGGGAUCCAAUUGAGGUCUCCUCUCUUUUUCCGUCGUGCAAGUUUUUACAGCAAUAUAUUUUCCAGCAUUCCAUUUUCUCAGCAUUUUUAUUUCCUUAGCAUUUUAUUUUCUUUUCUUUGUUAGCUUAAUUUUUUAGGCAUUCAAUUAAUUUUCUCACAAUAGUUUCACACACGAAAACUAUUGUGUAACUUUACUGGAUCUAACCUUAUUUAGAUCAUAGUAUUUUACUUCUUUGUUUUAUUUUAUCUGUCUGAUCGAAGAUUGUGAAGAACAAAUCCACGCGUUUGUGGUGGAGUGUUCAAGCAUCGAAGCUAGGGAAAACCAAGAUUUCUAUUAAUUUUACAGGUUCAUUAGUUUAUGUUUUAAUUUAUAUAUGCUUUGUACUGGUUUAUCUAUAUUGUUUGUCUGAUAUGGCUGUAUUUAAGCAUAAUAAUUGUUUAGGCCUGUUUAGCAUGUCGGCUAUUAAUUUAGAUAUCGGAUGUAAAGUAAGCGGAAUAAAGGAAUCAAAACUGAGUCGGUUUAAAUUUAUUUAAAAAUAUAGUCACUCUUUUUAUGGUCUCAAUUUACAGAGUUAAUACCAAAGUUUUUGUACGAGAGUAAAAGACAUAAAGAAGUUAAAAUCAAUAGAACGACAGUUUGAGCUUUUAACUGGACAGUGUAAAUUGGACAUUAACUUUAAUCAGGGCGAAAGCAAUUUUUAGAUUUAAUUAAAUUCUAAUCAUUUCAAAAGUAUUUUUAAAGGUUAAAUGUGAGGACGAGAGUUAAGCAUUUAAGUUUAAUCAUAUAAUCUAAGUCAACAGAGCGGGAGUUUGAGACGAGGGUGUUUAAACGGUUAGUAUUUUAAUAAAAAGAGUUUCUAUAGCAUUCUAUUGUUUUCAAAAGUGAUUUUAGAUUAACUAAAUAGUGAGAGCGUACGUUAAUAUAAGUCAUGUCUGAUUCAAACAGAGCGAUAGUUUGAGAAACGACUUUUAAUCAUGUGUCUACUGAAAGACUUUAUUUUAAAACUAAGAAACCAACGAGAUUUGAUUCCUAAUACGACGAACUACAUACGAUAUCGCGCUUAUUUGAUAUUUAAUCUAGAUCGAUUUUAGUUACUUUUCACCUAAUCAUCAAGUAUCAUCCGCCUUAGAUUUACGAAGUACCGUAGAAAAAUGGUAUAUCGAUUCAUUAAUCCCUGUGAGACGAUAUCUUUUAAACUACGCGAUAGACUGUGCACUUGCAGUUAAUACCCCAAUAGACUCAUCGCGAUCUCUUUUGGGCUCUCAAUUCCUCCCAUAUUUGCUUUGUCACUUCAAUCUUUGAAGCCAUACCUCUUCUUCCUGUGCAUAAAGCUAAGACUUCUGAUUGAGAUGGUAAUGCUAACCCAAUUUUAUCUUCAGUUGGGCUUGAAUGCAAGACAUUACGAUCCAAGCAUGUUAUCAUAACCUUGAUGUCUUGUUGGUGAAAGAUUUUGGAUUAGCUUAUAAUUUCAUCAAACACCUUGGGUCUCUCGCUUCACUCAUUGUGUAAUUCUUGUCAAGUGAUUGCAUCUAGACUGAUCAAGUUCUUUCAUUAAGCGAACAAACAAGACUCAUUGUGUCUUUCUGUCCAGACUUCUUUUCAGUUUGACGUUGUCCAUUCCUUCUGAUGUCAUGUGUGUUGUGUCUGGCAAAUGAAUUGUAUCUUCUAAAACUAAUUGAGCACAAUUGAAAACCAGUUCCUCUGUUGUUGUAUAUAUGAUGGUUGGCAUUGUAUCAGUCCGACAUUUUUUCUCUAAAGGCCAUGUGUUGUAGCUAUCAAAAGAUCAUUUUCCAGAUCACUGAUACAGUAAGAGCAAAUGAGUCACUCAUUGUCCUAUCAUUGUCUUGUUGUGUGUGUCUCCUGUUAAUGACAGAUUUUACAAUCACAUACAUUGAACCCCUUCAUGGUAACCUUUUUUUGGUAUUCUGAUUUACUUAACAUCUUUCUUGCUAGUUUCACCAUGGCCCUUUAUAGCCUCCAUUAUAUGCUUGUGGACAAGAUUUUGUUCCACUUCCUAAAGGUUUUUAUGAUAAUAAAGUAUUUAAAAGAACAGAGUGUUUAAUGAACAUUUGUCAAAGUGGUUAAAGGAUUCAAAGGCAUAGAACUAUUACUGAUUGUUAGCUAUAUAUGGAGAAGUAAUGUUAACUGAUUCUAAUUAUCAGAAUCUGACCUAGUUCAUCGCUUUAAAGGCAUCAAACUUUGGCCUCGCAUGACCACUUCUGAUGACGCUUAGACUCUGAAGAUGUGGAGAGCAUUGAUUUAUACUUAUUAAAUUAGUCUUUAUUAAUCAAAGCCCGCAUUUCUGGACAAAGUACUAGAUGGUCUUAGAUUUUCAGGCUCAAGAAAAAGGAUAUGAGUCUUCAGACCGUCUACCUUUGGUAGUACACUAGUUGAUGAAAGAUACUGGAGUUAAUGCUCUUAUCAGUGGAAUAAAUCUUCCCCAGAGACUUUCACGUCUCUAUACAUCUCUUAACUAGUUUGAUGUUGUUCAAAUCUCUAACACUUUUUUCUAUCUCAUAAAAGGAAGUUAAAGAUUCAAAGGAAGGUUACAACAUCACAAAUAUAGUAGAAAGAUCUUAACAUAACUCUGAGUUGUUACUGUGACUGUUUAUANAUGUUUUUAGGUACAUUGCCUAGAUGUAGUCUUUCACGAAAAAAGAAAACGAAAAGAGCAAGAUCGGAGAUUUUCAAUGGAAAAUACACACAUGGUGUUCCACAUGGCGUUGGUCAUGCGGGUAGCCAUGAUGUGUAAGCUUUCACCCACGUUUCAACAACCACAAGACCACGUAUUCCACAUUUUUCAUGACGAACGUCAUGCGCGUAGAUGGUGGGUGCCAUCUUCUUAUUCUGCACCGUGUCAAGGGCGGUUGCUAGGAAAAGGUCAUGACUGAGAUUUUUCUCCACACUAUUUUGAAAGUGUUAUGUAACCUCUGAGGCAUUAUUACACUAUAAUAGGAUUUGGGUUUUUAGUUAUAGGUAUUCAAGUUCUAGUUGCAGCAUAGGCUAUAGAUCACAACCGUUAUAAGCAAUAAUUCUUACACUCAGAGGUUUAGCACCAUUAUUGUAUAACAUUUGGAGCAUCUUAAGUCGAAGUUAAUCUUGCCAUCAUUUUACUUUCAAGUCAUAUUUAUUUCAAGUUUGUACCAGAUUCAAGUCUCCGUUUGGAGCAGGUUUUUAAUAUUAAUUCACAAUCUUUAUUUUAUUUCUCGGUUCGCCUUUAAUUUGUUUAUUUCUCGCUUCGCUUUAAUUGUUUAAUUCUUGUACCGCCUUUAUUGUUUAUUUCUCGCACCGCUUUAAUUUGUUUAUUUUCCUUGCACGAUUAUUUGUCAGAUUAUAGCAAAAGAUUCGUUUUUUAAACCAUACUUUGAACGUAUCAUUCAUGUGGUUCACUUUUAAAACCAGCUACACUUUAACACUUUAUUUCCCUAAAUGACUUAUUCCAUAAAUCAAUUAUUAUGCUAUGUUGUUUAUCGUACCCUGCUAACUAAAUCCUUAGUGCUUGGAAUGUGAGGAUCGUCGUUUCGACGGUACUCUGCAUGUUGUAUAUGUAGGAAUAUUUUUGGGGUUGUUUUGAUUUUAAUACAAGUUUUCUAUGUUUAAUUUGAUCAGUUUAUACAAAAGUAGAUCCAUGACUAAGUCGGGUAAGUAAAGUCGUCUGCAUACUAGAAAAAACUUGGUUGGCUUUUAAUUGAUAAAACAGCGAAAGCAUUUGUUAAAUUAAUUAUGAUAUUUUAAUAUUAUUAUAAAGUUAUUUUUAAAACUAUUUGGAAUGCGUUUAUAGGUUUAAGAUCCGGUUGAUCGAGCAUAUGUCGGAAACACUUUUAUGUUAAAAGUUUCCAAUCAAAAACACUUUUCAACUGAGCCUUAGAGAUAAUUAUAUAAAAAGACUUUUUCACUUUAAUGCAAAACACGACCGGUGCAGCGUGAGCGGCUGGUUAAAAUUAGAGGUUAGGUCCGGUUCGAUUACGCUAACGCGACGGUUCCUUUUUAAUUAACUUUUUUCAAGGAAAAAUAUUGCCCCAUAAGUUUCUAUUUUGAAACAAUAUGAGUAUUAUUUAACUGAUGAAUUACAUUCAUAUUCAUUUUCUCUAAAUUUAUCUUCACUAAUUUUUAAUUCAUGUGCACUCAUCACCUGCUUGAUUAGCCUUAGAUAAACACUGUAUAUAGUAAUCGAUAGAUUGACAUUGAUCUUUGUGUCGGAUGAUCUUUUAUUACUCUAACGUAUUUCGUAUACUUACGGAAGCAUGCAUCAUCUAUGUAUUGGUUUUGUCAUUGAUGUUUGGAUAGGAUAUGUCAAUAUACAAGUUCAUUCUUGUGCAGGUUAUACUUUGUGUCAACUUAUAGGUUGCAUAGUAUGUAUCAAUUAUGUAUGUUCACAAUGUGUAGGUUCAGAGUUGCACAAUUUGUAUUAGUUAAUUUUUCAAAUUACAUGUUGUGUAUGUUCAAAAAAAAUUACAUUACCUAAAAUAGGAUUAUGCCAAAAUUACUUUUCAUUAAAACAAAUAAGAUGUUAUCACAUUACCCAGUACGUCACUUUAUAUGAGAUUAAACAAAUUAAUUUACAAUUUUAUGUAGGUAUUAUGCUAAAACCUUUUUAUUAAAACAAACAAAUUACAUCACAUUACACCAGUACGUCACAUAACAUUACACUAGAAAAUUACAUUACUUUAAUACAUUUGUUCACAAUAAUGCAAACACAAGUAACAAUUAUAACACCAAAGCCAAACCCAAAAUAACCAUAAACUUAAUCUUCAUCUUCAACAUAUCUUUAUUUUUAUUUGUCUCUUUGGUUAAAUCCACAAGCUCGUCAUUCUUUACUUUCAAAAAUUUAUUCACAUCAUUUACACGGUUGCUGUGUCUUCAUCAAACAUUCAAAAUAGUUACAUCAUUUUUCCUCAUCGCCUUAAAAUUACAAAAUAAUAAAAUACUAUUUGGGAUUCUCGUAAAGUCACGAUGUCAUCAAUAUUGACUCAAGCUCAUAUUGAUAUCUAUUCAUUCUUCUUCUUAGACUGACCUAAUUUGUUGAGACAAGUGAGAAUCUUGAUCUAGUCAUGGAUGGAAAAGGGUGAAGAAGAGAAAAAAAGAUGAACAUGAUCAAAGAAAGUGGGUGCAAGAAAAUUAGGGAUGAUGAGUGUUGGUUCUACAAAAGAAAAACAUGUGAUGAAUGAUGAUAAAAUAAAGGGGAUGGGUAAGGGUUACCAUUUUAUUUAUGUUUUUUAUAGUUAUAUUAUAUAUCAAUAUAUUAGAAAUGUUUAAAAUGGAAUUAACCUAAUAAAAUAACAUAAAUGAAUUGAAAUAAUUUUAUAGUGACAUAUAGCCAAAUUAGUGUCAUGUCAUUAAAAAAUACUAUCAGAUUUGAAAGGGAUAAAUCCUUAAAAAUAUAUAAUUAAGGGACUAAGUUAACCGAUUUUAAAAUGGAGGUACCAAAAUUGAAAUUUUAGGAUAAUAGGGGGACCAAGUUGCAAUAUUAAGCAAAAAAAAUUGUAAAUGACUUUGGUAUUUUAACUUUUUAUAAUAAACUUUCUAAUAAAUAGUUAUUAUGAGGAGAUUCAAUUCUCAUUCAUGGUUGUGGGUUUGUUCAAUCUCAACCAUUCAUUUAGUUUAAUGCAAUGUUAAAAAGUGUGAAAACUUAAUAUGAUAUCCAUGUGUUUCAAAACUCAGUAUAUUUAUUUUUGCUUUAAUGUUUUUUUAUUCUCGUAUUCUUUCUCAGGAUUCUUUUAGACUCAUAACUUUUAAAAUGUUCAAAUUGAUCCCUCUAUUUUUUUAAAUGGGCCACAUUUGUCAUUUAUAUUUAUUUCAAUCAAACAUAGUUAUAUUUUUUCUACGUGGCAUACUACUUGUUUCCAUGAAAUUUAUCUUUUUAAAAUUGGGUCACAUUCAUCAUAUUUUGUACCUAGGUUGUUUGAAGAAUUGAGGGAUCAAAAUGGACGUUUUAAAGUUACGAGACAAAAAGAAACUCUGAAUAAGAGACACGGGACAAAAUGGUAUUAAGUAUUGUUUUUGUUGUAAUUUUUACUAUAUACUACAUGGAACAAGUUACCGUCUUGAUGAGGCCCAUGGAAGGAGCUAUGUAGUGAUAGGGGCCACGACCAUUCCAAACAUUUUUUAUAUCGAUGAAAUACUAAAAUAUCUUGUGGUUAAUUAAAUUUUACCGUUUUGUCAUUGCUCACCCUAAUAUUUUCUUCUCUUCAUUUGAAGUAUAUGUUUUCCCUUUUCUCUCUUUCUCAUUUAUUGAACAUAACUCUCAUUAUUCUCUUGUCAUUGUCGUUGUUGCAUGUUCUGAUACGCCACUCAUCGUCGUACGUACGUCCACUAUCGCUCGUUGCGUGCUUUGCUCAACCAGCCAUUCACCAUUGCAUUUUCUCCAAAGUGAGUUUGUGAGUCUAUGAGUUUUCUUUUCAGACAAUUCUGAUUUUUUAUGGGAUUUUCUUAGAUUUUUAAGUUCUUAUUCAUACCACUCCAACGGUGAAGACGAGUACUUAACCGGUACCGCGCAAUUUCCGCAUGUUCAACCGAGUACUCACUAUCCCAGGACCAGUUGAGUGUCAUGCUACACUUUCCUGUAGGGACCAAGUCACCCAAGAAUCCCUCCGAACACGAAGUGGCACAUAAACGCCUUCGACUCUUUGGAAAAAUAUCCGGUGUGGAAACCAAUAACUGGGAUGCACUACUUGCUUCACACAUACAUAACCCCACUAUCCGGUAUUUAUCGUAUUCUGAAAACACCAUUUUUGGUAGACCAACAACAACAAGAGCGAGGAAUGCAAUAACCCGACCAGCGGUUCACUGACUUGCUCAACAGGUUUGAUGACUUGGAAGUACGUCAACGCUCACCGGGUCCGAGAACAGAGGCGGCGCAGGCAUAAUUGGCGCAUUUUAUUUAUUUUUUUCCUUUCUUUUUCGCUUUUCUCUAAAACAUUGGGGACAAUGUUUUAUUUAAGUGGGGGGAAAACUUUUUUCAGUUAUGAUUAUUUCUCUUUCACAUUCCUCUUCAGAGAUGUCAUUUCCCUUUCAUUUAAAUAUAUAUAUAUAUAUAUAUUAUAUAUAUAUAUAUAUAUAUAUAUAUAUAUAUAUAUAUAUAUAUAUAUAUAUAUAUAUAAUAUAUUAUUUUAAGUCGAGUCCUAGUGUGAAAUUUUUAUUAUCUAUUCCUCAUUUUCUCGAGCCAUAACAAAAAUUUAAACCACUCGAUAAGUAUAAAGGUUGCUUAUUUUAUAAAACUUGAGGAAAUUAAGACAAUUAUUACCGCCCCAACACUCUAAAAACCUCAACAUGUUAGAUCAGGCUAAGUACCUAUUAUACCAAUUCCUUGAACUUUUAGUUUUAUGUAACCCCGAGUAGUUUAUACGAGAAGUCGGCCAUCUUAUGCAAACUACGUGGAGAGCCGAUGAAUAUAAGUGAAUGAUUCCCAAAACAAUAUAUUAAAAUCAAGGAAAUGCACUAAUUAAGUUAGGUGAUCCUUCCCCAUCAUUUAAUUCAAAGGUUGCGGACCCUAUAAAAUUGUAUGAACGAUCCAUUGUGAGUUGGUUACGCGGUUUCUGGUGCUGAACUUGGUGGGCGGACUACGAUCCGAUCCCCCGCAAUUUGCAAUGGACUAAAUAACGAAGUUUAUCCAACUUAUGUACCGAGACUUCUAGCUAAAAGGGGAUCGAAUCGCUAACCGGUUACUCCAUUAUGUGCGCGAAAAGAUAAAGGCUUAAUGUGAUUUCGCUAGAAUGAAAACGGGUGAAUAAGAGUAAAAGAACUAGGAUAGGCUAUAAUAGCGUGACUCGAACUGGUUUGCAUAAGGUGGGGUUAUCUGAUGUUGUUACAGGAAUUUUGUGAUGUUAAGAUUAAGCUCAGGUAUUUCUAAACGAGAUUUACUUGCAACCUAAUAUGAAUUGAUGUGUGUUUAGAAAUUUCAUCGGCUAAUAUUUUAAACGACUUCUUAUUGUAUCUUGCUUGGACAAGCAAAGUCUAAGUAUGGGGGAGUUUGAUAACUGAAAUAUAUCACAUUUUUGGACUCGAUUUAUUAAAUUAUAUUAUUAUUGAUUCGAUUUUUUUAUAUUAUUCGAUAUUACUUGGUAUUUUCCUUCUAUUUAUUUCAGGUAACAUUAUUUGAAGCAUACGUGAAAAAGAAAGAAAAGGGGGUGCAAAAAGAGGAUUCUCUAGGAAAAGCAUUCCACUAAAGCCCAACCCACAACUACAAGGAGAAGCGUUGUGACGUUGUGACGACCGCCACACAUGGUGUGACGAGCGUCACGCCCCUCUGCUUAGUGUUACGAGCGUAACACAUGGUGUGACGGACGUCACACCCCCACUCCUAUUUUUCUGCUUUGACGCGCGUAACAGAAGCACGUUCGCCCCUUUUCUUCGCUUGACUCGUUGACGCUUUGGAAAACCUACUGAAGAGACUUUGGAAAAAACGGUUACUUUAUGGAUGAAUAUAAAUAGACCCCAAGGGAUCCAAUUGAAGGUCUCCUCUCUCUUUUCCGUCGUGCAAGUUUUUACAGCAAUAUAUUUUCCAGCAUUCCAUUUUCUCAGCAUUUUUAUUUCCUUAGCAUUUUAUUUUCUUUUCUUUGUUAGCUUAAUUUUUUAGGCAUUCAAUUAAAAAAAAAAAGGAAGGAAAAGGAAGAUCCCCAAAUAAGAAAAAAAGAAAAAAAACUCAUUUUAAAAAAUAACCUUUUUCCCACACUAUUUUGGUUGGUCUUAUUUGAAAUGAAAUGUUGGAAGAAGAAAGGGCGUUCCCCCAACCGCAAAAAAGUAGAGGUAAAUAAGAAAAGAAAGAAAAUGGAACGAAAACGAGGUUAAAAUAUAAAUCAUUUUUCCAACACUAGAAAACCAACAAUCAAGAAAUAUGAAAAUGCAUAUUAUUCCAAGUUUUUAAGCACAAAUACAAAUGAAACUCAAAGCAACAGACACGGGGUUUUAGAUUUAAAUUCCCACAAUGUAUAGGAACAAUCCAAUUCACGUAGUAACCUAACCAAAACUAUCAACAUCCUUUUGAUCACACAAUAAAAAAAAAUAGAAAAUAGGCUAUUUUGUAUGUUAUGCAACGGUGUUUAAGGGACUACUAGCCAAAUAAUAAUUAAAUUAAAAAACCAAAAAUAACAUUCAUUUAUUUUUAUCAUUUACAAUGUCAACAACUACAGACAUAUUAUGAAAUACUUAAUAUUAUUAAUAUUUGUCACAUCUUCUACUCAUUAUAAAAAACGCAAUUUCUUCAUCACCUUCAUUGUAUUCACAUCUCUUUAAUUUUUUUCCAGUCGGUCUUUUUGAUAAAACGCCUUCCACUAUCCUAAUGAUAGUUAAUUCAAAAAUUGGCUUAUCAAUUGGUCUUAUUCUUUUAUUUUUAAAAUUGAAGUUCAGCUUAUAAAUGUCAAGUUGCAAUUAUCAUAGGAAAUUUUUACAAAAAUUUAGAUUCAUUUUUGUAAAGAAAAUUUCUCAAAUAUCCCUGAAUUCAAAAAAAUCCAAAAUUAUCCCAUUUUUAGGAGAGCGCGCAAUUGGAUUGACGCUCUCAGUGUAAAAUACAUUUUUGUGUUUAUGAAAUAGAUAUUGUGUGUAGUCAUUGUUUCCAUCUCAAUUAAGCAUUUGGCAAUCAUGUUUGGUGUUCAUCGGCGAUAACGGAAAGAUGAUUUAUGCGAAAAGACAAACCUCAGAUGUUGAUGUUGUUCUAAAACAUCAGCUACGUAUCGAUCAACUGAAGAGGAAGCUGGUUCGUUGGUUAGAUGGAAAAAUAUACCAGGGGAGACUGUUACAGCGUAGUGUCGCUAGCUUUGAUGACUCUUGACUCUUUCACACCUCAUGCACACACUCACUGAAUAUCUAUGCCUGGACAUUAACACUCCGUUUAGUACCUUCACAUCUUUCACUCUCGAAUACCGACAGACGUAAAGGAUAAUACUUAAAUUAUUUCGUUUAUUUAUGUUAACUUCUUCUACCUAGAUGUAUAAUCCUAUCUUUUUUCACAUUUCAGUUCAUUUGACGUCCAUACCUUAAUUUUGGAUCAUGGACCAUCGCAGGUCAAGCCGCUGAGACGCGGCCGUAUGGGACUGCGUGCACACUGAAGCGGAUGCCGGAUAAUACGGUUCACAAGCUGUGGAGAUGCACAACAGAGUGAUCUGUGUGAAACGCAGUUUGUAUAUGCCCCAAAAACCUCCCAGCCGCCAGCUAGCCUAGGGAGAAUGGCAAUUGCGCAAAAGUUAACGACCAUGGAACUUCAAUCCAUGGCAACAGCAUUCGCAAGAUCGGAUUGCCGCAAGAGAAGCACCGACAAUUGACCAUGUUCAUUAACUAACGCCAGUCAUGUCACUGAAGAAAAACCAAGUCGACUUAUAUGACUUGGUACAGAUCGGUGGUUUUCAGUUCAUCGGCAAGAAAUAUGUUAUUGGUAUCGACCUACGCUCAGAUGGACUUACAACACCUGACACCUCUAACUCUAAACCCCCAACAACAGUGUCAGACAUACACCAACCCCCUAUCCGCGCAAACGUUCCGUUCACCAACCACAUCAAACAUACAACCAAAACAUGUCCUACACCCAACCUCAUAUACAAGAGCCUAUCACAUACCACCACUCCAACAAAAUUGACCAUCAAUCGCUGAGACUCAACAUCGCCCUCGCACUCACCCCAUCACCCUACCAAAGUCGCCUAGCUCAAACACCCCAACCAUCAUUCAACACAACGCUCCUCCUUCCUACAUAGCCAAGAAGCUCAAACCUCACAAAACCUAACUAUCUCCAACACCUAUCUCUAUCCAACAGUGGCGCCAUUCACCUUCCCGAUGCAUCGGUUCAACCCAUGUCUCCCGAUUCAAUCGUUCUCGUUCGCCCAGUUAUCAAUGAGUCUCCACACCCCAACUUCUCUGGCAUGGGUCAUGAAGUUAGCUACGGCGGUCACAUCACGUAUUGUGCAUACUGAAGACUAUGGUCGACUUGAUCUUUGACUAACCUCAACAGACCAUCUCCUAUAGUGAUUUGUGACGCUCCUGACCCUCAGGAUGCUCAACACAACAGUGGUGACGUCAUCAACGGUGGGUUAAGAUCACUGGCGUUAAGGUAGCUAAGGGGAUGUUGGAACGGUAAGGUCGGUAGGUGAUCUCCGAGCGUACACCAUUAGGUCUUUUUUGUGAAACGAAAAUCUUUAUUAAUAUCAAUUGGGUCCCUAUUUCAUAAUUUAUUCUAUCACGCUAACCAUUUAGCAAAAAAAAAUUGAUUUUACACUGAGGUGUCAAUCCAAUUGCGCCUCCCAUUCAGUAUUUUUAAGAGGAGUCGUCAAUUGAAUCUGGUGUCUCCCUAAAAGUAGGGAUAAGUUUGGGAGAAAAAAAAUUGAAACCAGAGAUAUUUUGAAAUUUCUAUGAAAAAAAUGGGUUAUUUUGAAGAAAAAAAAUCCAUUAUAUUGUCUACUUCAUCUUUGUUUUAAUGAUAGUACAAAAAAAAAUUACAGAAUAUCUUCUUAUUCUCGUUCAAUAUGCUGUGUCCUUUUGGAUCCUUUGAGAUGAUGGUGUUAAACUAUUUUAUCUUAUGCAUUACUCUAAUAAGAUUAGAUUUUUUAAAUCACAUAUUUUAAUGCAAAGAAUUAUUAUAUUUGUUAUUAUACUAGUAUAUUAUUAUGUUUGUUAUCUGUUCUAUUUCUUUACACGCAUAUUUGUUAAUUUUUUUAUUCAAAAAUAACCAAAUAGUUUUAACAAAAAAUCUCCAAACAAUUAAGUUUUUUCCACUAAUGCUUAAUAUCAUAGUUGAAUAAAAAUAAAAAAUGUAUAGCACAGUGUUAAUUCAAAUUGACAAAAAAAAAUAGAAUAAUCAAAGGAACAUGAAGCAUAUUAAUGAGAAAGGUAUAUGAUAUUACAAUUCGAAGGAAAAGUAACUGGUCGUCAACAUUGCAAUGAACUCAAGCACAUAUUAACAUGAUAAGAGUUAAGGAAACAAACCCACAACAGAACAUUAGCCCAUCACAAUAUCUCUCAAAUCAAAGACCGCAUCUUGUUUUUAUGGGACCCACCAUCCAGCUAUAAGCGGUUUGUUUUGUUUUUGCCUCUCACAAAAGCAUUUGUUCUGAACCAUUUUAGGCCAACUUAUACAUCGACAUCAUGUAGACAUUUUACAUAAACAUUCAAUGAAAAAAAGCUAUUCUUUUGCAAGAUAUAGUCAAGUUAUACACAUAUACUGAAGGGAUUAACUGCAUGCCAUCCGGUCCAGGGUUUCAAGGCCGUGAAACACCUACAUCUGCCAGCUACAGAAAC